Molecule: non-coding RNA, 72 nt
Organism: Glossina austeni
Lineage: Eukaryota; Metazoa; Arthropoda; Insecta; Diptera; Glossinidae
Source: Rfam
UGCCGCAUAGUUUAGUGGUUAGGACAUUCGGCAUGAAGUCGAAAGACCCAGGUUCGAUCCCUGGUGUGGUAU